RNAcentral lists this ribosomal RNA (253 nucleotides) under uncultured bacterium. Its description in RNAcentral is "partial 16S ribosomal RNA". It matches the Rfam family "Bacterial small subunit ribosomal RNA", at positions 524 to 776 of the family's 1533-position model. The record is from RNAcentral.
UACGAAGGGGGCUAGCGUUGUUCGGAAUUACUGGGCGUAAAGGGCGCGUAGGCGGUACUUCAAGUCAGGCGUGAAAGCCCCGGGCUCAACCUGGGAACCGCGCUUGAGACUGGAGAACUAGAGUUCGGGAGAGGAUAGUGGAAUUCCCAGUGUAGAGGUGAAAUUCGUAGAUAUUGUGAAGAACACCGGUGGCGAAGGCGGCUAUCUGGCCCGUAAUUGACGCUGAGGCGCGAAAGCGUGGGGAGCAAACAGG